AGGACUUUUCUGUGGUGAAACUGACAGUGUCCAGUGAAAAGAACACAAACGACACAACCACUGAGAGAAACAGUGAGCGGCUCCACGAACGACACUGAGCACGAGCCAGAGAUUGAUUGCCGUCUUUCUCACAAGACCCCAACAAGUAAAGAAUGGCCGUCAGCAGUGACUAUGACUAUGAGCUCUUUGUAGUCCACAAUGAGAGUGAACUCAACGUAGAACCUCAAGAAGAGCAAUCAGCAUUUCAAGUCUAUGCUGCUCAUCUUCUGCAUCAGUUUGCCUGGAAACAGCUUCCUGCUCUGGGUGCUUCUGAAGGAACGAGCCUGGAGGACCACAUGUGACAUCUUCCUUCUGCAACUCACAGUUUCCAACCUUUGCUUCACCGUGACCCUGCCCUUUAUGGCCAGCAAUGUUCUCCACAACUGGGUGUUUGGGGAGUGGACCUGUGGAGUCGUGAGAGGGUUUUUUAUCCUGGGAAUGAACAGUUAUGUGAUAAUACUCACUGCUGUGAUUUUGCAUUGUUAUAUGACUGUUGUUCACGCUUCACGUCUGUCUUCACAGGCCUUCAGUAAACGGCGUGUCCUUGUGGGCAGCAUUGUGAUCUGGCUGGCAUGUGCUGUCCCUAGCAUUGAGAAUUCAGUGAAUAGCCUAGUCAUAGAUUUAGGUUUUGGUGAAGUGUGUGUUACUGUGAAGUCAUUCUUUAUGGUUUUCUUUGACAUCUACAUGUUUAUUAUCUUUUUCUUCCUCCUUCCUUUCAUUAUCAUCACAUUCUGUUAUGUCCACAUGUGGAUACUCAUCAAACAACGCAAGAUAACGAGACAGGACCAGCCUUCAAAACUGAUUUUAGGGAUAACUAUUGGUUAUUUUCUUUGUUUGGCUCCUCACGAUAUUUUCGCCUUUAUAGACACUCUGUUCAUCUUGCACAAUUAUGACUCUGAAUAUAGGCAUGCGUUGCUCCAUGCCAUGUUCAUUAUUUACCCACUGGCUCACUUCUAUUGCUGCCUGAGUCCUCUGUUCUACAUAUUUGGAGCCCAGAGGUUUAUAAAGCAUCUCCCUGGACCAUGUAACAGAGAUGGAGAUGGGGGUAACGAUGACACAGCAGCAUUCAUCACUCUAGAAGAAACUGCUGAGUGACAACCAAGCUUUUCAUUUGUGUAAAUACUUGUAAGAUAAGGGUAUGUUAUUUUUUCAUGCUUUAACCAUACUUCAUGAUUCAAAGUGACUCCUGACAGUUACCAAUCAUGAAUGUUUUCUCAGCCUUGUCAAUCGUUGGUGGAAAAAACAAAUGCAUGCCAGUAUGCAUAAGGAAUGCUUUUCACUGUUGCACUUUAACUUGCUGUGUUAGCACUGUGCAGGGCCAGCUCUGGACAUCAGGGGGCCCUAAGCAGGAUCACUUUGUGGCCCUGCCUUGCGGUGGUUAGUAGAGUAUUGCCAUCGCGAACCAGCAACUGUAUAGAAAACCUUACACAUUUUGUUUGUAUUUGAUUUUAAUUUGCUGGGACACAGUAAUUUUGCUGCGUAGACAAAGUAAAGCUUACAGAUUUGCCACAUUUCUACUGCAACUUUGUUACUAUUGAAAUCCUUAAUAAAUGCGGAAACGCCAAAA
Long non-coding RNA from Acanthochromis polyacanthus (spiny chromis), 1606 nucleotides. RefSeq lists it as uncharacterized. NCBI's taxonomy places the organism in Eukaryota, Metazoa, Chordata, Actinopteri, Pomacentridae. The transcript has 2 exons. The record is from RefSeq and is a predicted model, not a curated record.